GUGAUCCACCAGCCUCGGCCUCACAAAGUGCUGGGAUUACAGGUAUGAGCCACCACGCCCAGCCUGCAAACAUAUGUUGAACUCUUUGCACAGUGCCCUGCAUGAGAUAGAUGACAGCUCCUUCUUCCAUGUUGUUAAUUUGGUGUGAGUAUAUGUUAUAUGUAUGUAUAUGCAAGAUAAUAAUCUUCUUGUAACCACUGACAGGCCUUUUUGUGAAUGAUGAUGGAAAAAGCAAGAACCUUGUCCAGGUUCCUCUCCAGGGAGCAGGGGUGGGUUGUGAUUCUUGAUUUCAUUCCUUUAGAUAUGAAGAGUUUUCACACAGAGGCAGCACGAAUUUGUCUCUCUCCUAGAGGGUGGGGAGAGUUGCUGGGUGGAUAUAACUGCAUCACAGCCUUUCUGGGUAAACUGGCCACUCCCUACUGAUUUGUUAUCAUGCUAAAUGUGUCUCCUCCCUUCCUUUCUGGAGCUUUUGCAGCUGUUCCUGGAAGGAGACCCAGUUGAAAGGGGUUGUUAUGGACCAGGAACAGCUGGGAUCUUUAAUGAUCUGUGAGCAGCUUACAGCAAAGUUCCAACACCCUGAGUAUCAGUCCCCAAAUCCUUGGUCUUUGCAUUCCAACACAAAGUAAAAAGGAUUGAGCAGGGUUUUGGUUUUGGUUGCAAGUAACAGAAACCCAACGCUAAUUAAUAAACGGGAAAGUGUGUCAGUGGAAAUGUAAGUAAGAAGAGAUUUCAUUUACUGGCCAAUUCAAAAGAUGACAAGCUUUAGGCGUGGCUCAGUCCAGUGGCUCAUGAUGUCUUCAGGACUCAGUGUUUCUCUGUUGUCAUCUCUUAGUUCUAUUAUUUUUUCUGUGUUGGUUCAUUAUGAGGUUUCCUUUAGAGGGUGGCAGAGAAAGCCACUAGUUGCUUCAAGUCUUUAUUUUACCAGCUCCACAAGUCCGACGGAAAGAGAAAACUGCUUUCCCAAAGGGUGUAAGAGGAUGAAAGGCAUGUCAUCAGCUGAAUUGCAUCAGGUGUCCAUCUUGGAAUCAAUCACGGUGCCUCUUAUUAGCAAAGCCUGAGUCAUAGGUGAGUCUAUACUUGGAUGGGGUAGUAAGGAAAUCCCAUGUUGAUUGCAUGGAUGGAAAGUGGGGGUGUUGUGGUUUCAUAAUGGCUUAUUAGGGUUCAAUAAUCAGAACACCAAAUAAUCCAUGCUGGGAGGUAAAAAUUGCAGAUAUUUUACUUUAUGCCCCAAACUAGACUUCAAAUCUGUGCUGCUCUUCCAAUCAUGAAUCCGCAGAACAGAGGAUAGAAAGUUCAGGUCAAUUCAAAUUUGACAAACACUUUCCGAGCACUUACUAUGUGCCAAUAUCCGUGGGAGGCCCUGGGAAACCAAAGAUGAAUGAAACACAAACUCUGAUGUCAGAGACCUCACAGUCUGGUGUUUAAGACGAUAAUAGUCUGGAUUAGAUUCUGGUGUGAUGAGAUGGAUUGUCUCAUAAAAAACAGAGGGAAGGGAUUAUUUAACUCUGAUGGGUGGCUGGGUGCUGAGAAGACCCUCAGAGGGUGUAACCUUUGAGUCUUAAGGAGGAUUAAGUUUAAAGGGGAUUUUGUUGGAGGAUAAGCAUCAAGGAAAGCAUUCCAGGAAGAGAGACGGGCAUAUGCAAAGGUAUAGUGUUGUGACCUCUGAUUAAAUAUGGAUGAGACAGGACAGGGAAAAACACACUUGUUAGAUUGUGGCAAAUGCCCAUGUGAAGUGAUUAAGUGACUGAAAUUGGGCAGAGGUGGUGUGCUGGUAGAUUCUAAGGUGACCCCAGUGAUCCAUGCCUUGUAAAAUCUUCUCCCCUGUGAGUGCUCCUUGGUGAGCAGGUGAUGUUAUAUUGGGAGAUUGACUAUAAGAAGGGGAGACUAUCUGUGUGGUCCUGGCCUAAUGACAUGAAUCCUUUAAGAGCAGAGCUUUCUCCAGCUGGUAGAAAAAGGGGAAGUAUGAGACUUAAAGGUGGAGGUGGCCCCAUGGAAAAGACCUAAGGGUAGCCUGCGGGAACUGAGAGAAAACCCCAACUGGCAGCCAGCAAGAAAACAGGGACCUUAAUCUUACGACCACAAGGAACUGGACUCUGCUACCAGAAUGAGCUGCAAGGGAGAUUCUUCCUCAGAAGCUUCAGAUAAGAACUCCACCUGGCUGACCUUUGAUUUUGGUUUUGUGAGAACUUUGGCAGAUAACCCAGGCAUGUGUCAUUUCACAUCUGCAUAAAAAGACAUGCUGAAGGAUGUUCCUUGCAGAAUGGUUAUAGAGAAAAAUGGGAAUAACCACGAUAUAAAGUAACAGGGAAAUGGAUGAAGCUGGAAACCAUCAAUCUCAGCAAAGUAACAC
RNAcentral lists this long non-coding RNA (2350 nucleotides) under Homo sapiens (human). RNAcentral describes it as "HSALNT0349306". The record is from RNAcentral. Lineage: Eukaryota; Metazoa; Chordata; Mammalia; Primates; Hominidae.